This is a non-coding RNA of Thamnophis sirtalis, 188 nucleotides long. The record is from RefSeq and is a predicted model, not a curated record. NCBI's taxonomy places the organism in Eukaryota, Metazoa, Chordata, Lepidosauria, Squamata, Natricidae.
GGAAAGCUUACUUUCGCUUUUGCUUUAGGGAAGAGCGGCGCGCAGUUUCCCAUCUGUAAAGGCAGUUGAAGUCUCUCAAUAUGUGGCCAUCAGCUACACAUAGAUGUGGCUUCCUCACAUCCUCUAAUCUGCCAGUGCCUUUGAAAAGCAUUUCUGUGGAUGUCAUUAUACGAGGUUUCGUAGCUGAC